Molecule: non-coding RNA, 30 nt
Filed under: Rattus norvegicus (Norway rat)
Lineage: Eukaryota; Metazoa; Chordata; Mammalia; Rodentia; Muridae
Source: RNAcentral
UCGUAUUUGAAAUGGCUACUUAUAUGCAAA